Molecule: ribosomal RNA, 595 nt
Filed under: uncultured Ascomycota
Lineage: Eukaryota; Fungi; Ascomycota
Description: eukaryotic LSU rRNA
Rfam family: 5.8S ribosomal RNA (bases 217-370)
Source: RNAcentral
CUUGGUCAUUUAGAGGAAGUAAAAGUCGUAACAAGGUCUCCGUUGGUGAACCAGCGGAGGGAUCAUUACCGAGUUUCUACUCUCAAACCCUUGCAAACCUACCUGUAACGAUGCUUCGGCGACCGGCCCUCGGGGGGGCGUCACAAACGGUCGCCGAUAGUAUUCAAAAAUCAAUUUUUUUCAGAAUCCUCUGAAUGGCCUAAAAAAACAAAUCAAAACCUUCAACAACGGAUCUCUUGGUUCUGGCAUCGAUGAAGAACGCAGCAAAAUGCGAUAAGUAAUGUGAAUUGCAGAAUUCAGUGAAUCAUCGAAUCUUUGAACGCACAUUGCGCCCGCCAGUAUUCUGGCGGGCAUGCCUGUUCGAGCGUCAUUUCAACCCUCAAGCCCCCGGGUUUGGUGUUGGGGAUCGGCGAGCCUCACGGCAAGCCGGCCCCGAAAUACAGUGGCGGUCUCGCUGCAGCUUCCAUUGCGUAGUAGUAAAACCCUCGCAACUGGUACGCGGCGCGGCCAAGCCGUUAAACCCCCAACUUCUGAAUGCUGACCUCGGAUCAGGUAGGAAUACCCGCUGAACUUAAGCAUAUCAAUAAGCGGAGGA